RNAcentral lists this signal recognition particle RNA (266 nucleotides) under Pseudomonadota bacterium. RNAcentral's name for it is "signal recognition particle sRNA large type". It matches the Rfam family "Bacterial large signal recognition particle RNA". From Rfam's summary of the family: The signal recognition particle (SRP) is a universally conserved ribonucleoprotein involved in the co-translational targeting of proteins to membranes. Lineage: Bacteria; Pseudomonadati; Pseudomonadota. The record is from RNAcentral. RNAcentral also lists the same sequence under 1 other name.
CCGUGCUAGGCGGGGAGCUAGCGGUUCCCUGUACCCGCAAGCCGCUACAGCGGGGCUGAACUCCCACCCCGAGGCGUCGUCUCGUGGGGUCAGGCCCGCGCGCGCAGCGACGACGGCCGGGUCCUGUGCAACGGAAACUGACCAACCCCGCCAGGCCCGGAAGGGAGCAACGGUACGUCAGCGCUUCCGUGUGCCGCAGGGGCACCUGGCCUGAGCCAGCGGCGCGGACACCGCCCGGGGGACGGUCGUCGACGGGGGGUGCACGG